AUUGAACGCUGGCGGCAGGCCUAACACAUGCAAGUCGAACGGUAACAGGAGCAGCUUGCUGCUUUGCUGACGCGUGGCGGACGGGUGAGUAAUGUCUGGGAAACUGCCCGAUGGAGGGGGAUAACUACUGGAAACGGUAGCUAAUACCGCAUAACGUCGCCAGACCAAAGAGGGGGACCUUAGGGCCCCUUGCCAUCGGAUGUGCCCAGAUGGGAUUAGCUAGUAGGUGGGGUAACGGCUCACCUAGGCGACGAUCCCCAGCUGGUCUGAGAGGAUGACCAGCCACACUGGAACUGAGACACGGUCCAGACUCCUACGGGAGGCAGCAGUGGGGAAUAUUGCACAAUGGGCGCAAGCCUGAUGCAGCCAUGCCGCGUGUAUGAAGAAGGCCUUCGGGUUGUAAAGUACUUUCAGCGGGGAGGAAGGGAGUAAAGUUAAUACCUUUGCUCAUUGACGUUACCCGCAGAAGAAGCACCGGCUAACUCCGUG
This 489-nucleotide ribosomal RNA is filed under the name uncultured bacterium. RNAcentral describes it as "partial 16S ribosomal RNA". It matches the Rfam family "Bacterial small subunit ribosomal RNA", at positions 30 to 507 of the family's 1533-position model. The record is from RNAcentral.